CUCAAGCUCCUCUCACUAGCUCGGCCAUGUUCGGUGCUCGCGACGCCUUCGCCGCGUGAUCUUCAGCUGCUACGGCGGUUUCCCCCACCGGCUCCGGAGAGACGAUGGUGAGCAAGUUCCUCUACGACUUCCGGUGGUUCCUCCUCCUCGCCGCGGCGGUGGCGUUGAUCCACAUCCAGGAUGGUGUACCAAGGACAGCAUAUGAAGGAGCAGUAAUCUCCCGGUAUUCACCACCACGGCAUGUGUUUCUAGUGGGUCCGGAUUCUUUCAGGCUGCUUGGGAUCAAACGUGUUUGAUGCAUUGAGGUGAGGUUCCACGGCGCUGGUAAAUCAUGGUGCCAGGACCGAGCUUCCUCUUUCCUCCUCAACGCCUAGUGUAACCGGUACACUAUCAGAGGAACCACCGGGAGCAUAGCAACUGGAGCUCGCUGAUGAGCAGAAGUGUAGAGGGCUGACGAUUCCUUUUGCGAUUUUGAUUGAGGAGAGGGAGGAUUCUUCUGAACGGCAGUGUCCAGUCCAUACAUAUGCCUUUAAAUGGCCGAAGCAAGCCGUCAUUCAUUGGAAGAGAGCCAUAGGUCAUGUUAGCUUACUUUUACACUUAAUAGCACGUAACCUCAACAAAUUUUGUUGCUCCCGAAGAAACAUACAUCUGUCUCUCGCCAUGUUUCCCGCUCUUUUGCCCCCGCUUUGGCGGGUUGGAGCGCGGAGGACUAAAAUGUAAGAGACCCACACAGUCGAAAGUGGGAGUUCAUGCCUGUCUUUGUAUGCAAAACACGAGGAACUUCUAGUCAUGUGUGUUGUGAACAAAAUGGUGAGAAAAAUUUGGUACAAAGUUUAUUUAUAAAAUUUUCUUCAAAGUA
Molecule: long non-coding RNA, 859 nt
Organism: Eucalyptus grandis
Lineage: Eukaryota; Viridiplantae; Streptophyta; Magnoliopsida; Myrtales; Myrtaceae
Exons: 2
Source: RefSeq, a predicted model, not a curated record